UUGUCCUGCAUCGUCUUUGAGUUCGCUUAUUCCGUUGUCCUCGGGACGUUAAGUUGCUCUGGUCGAGGAUAAAUGACCCCUCUGACCGAGGUAAAACCUGUCGCUGUGUUACCUCUUUACUGAGGCACACGUUAAAGAUUGUUCCGCAUUGUGAGUCUAACACCAGUUGUAUAAACUUUUUACAACCGGUAGCGAUGGAUCCCUUGGCACGUCAUUCGAUGAAGACCGUUGCAAAUUGCGAUAAAGUGAUGUGAUGCGCAAGUCCACCACUUAUACGUGAAUCAUCGAGUUGUUGAACGCAUUGCACCGCGCCCUAAUCCGGCUGCGGUAUGCCCCUUUGAGCGUCAUUGUAUUCCUUCGGGAGUCCUUUUUACAAAGGACCCGAGUUCGGAGUCCUCGGUCCUCUGGAUCGUGUUCUCUUAGAUGCGUCGCACCGAUCGCCUGAUGGGUCUCUAAUGCCUAAGCGUGGAGUUCCUUCAGAGUCUGAGAGGUGCUUGACCGGGUGUUGAGCUCGCGUCACCAAGUCUGCCUCACAAGCAGUACUACAACGCAUGACCUCAUUGGGGUAGGACAACCCGCUAGACUUAAGCAUAUCAAUAAGCGGAGGAAG
Molecule: ribosomal RNA, 610 nt
Filed under: Tulasnella sp. ML01 XZ-2010
Lineage: Eukaryota; Fungi; Basidiomycota; Agaricomycetes; Cantharellales; Tulasnellaceae
Description: eukaryotic LSU rRNA
Rfam family: 5.8S ribosomal RNA (bases 184-347)
Source: RNAcentral